GACCAGGAGGUCAAGUUGUACAUUAACGGUAAAAAGAUAGUUAGACAGAAUAACAGGUUUAAUUUCAUCGUACUAUUAAGAGGUAGAAUUCGAAUAUAGACAAAUAUAUUAAUUAAAACCGUUGUGUUGAAGCUAUGACAACUUUGAGGGAAACUAGGAUUAGAUACCCUAUUAUUCAUAGAUAUAAAUAAGAAAAUUCUACCUGAGUACUAAGAAUAAAAAAUUUAAAACUCAAAGGGCUUGGCGGUGUUUUAGACUACUUAGGGGAACCUGUCUCAUAAUCGACAAUCCACGUUAAACCUAACUUUUUUUUGUAUUCAGCUUGUAUACCGUCGUCGCCAGGUAACUUUUAAGAUAAAAGCAGUUAGCUAACUAAAUACUUAAAUUAGAACGUCAGAUCAAGGUGCAGCUUAUAGAAAAGUGCAGAUGGGUUACAAUUAUCACACUUAUAAUUACGGAUAAUAGCUUUAAAAGCAGUUAAUAAGGAGGACUUAAAAGUAAAAUAGAUUAUAUAAAUAUCUUGAAUAAAGCUCUGAAACGUGU
Molecule: ribosomal RNA, 543 nt
Filed under: Subcancilla erythrogramma
Lineage: Eukaryota; Metazoa; Mollusca; Gastropoda; Neogastropoda; Mitridae
Description: partial 12S ribosomal RNA
Source: RNAcentral